RNAcentral lists this ribosomal RNA (253 nucleotides) under uncultured bacterium. RNAcentral's name for it is "partial 16S ribosomal RNA". It matches the Rfam family "Bacterial small subunit ribosomal RNA", at positions 524 to 776 of the family's 1533-position model. The record is from RNAcentral.
UACGGGGGGGGCAAGCGUUGUUCGGAAUUACUGGGCGUAAAGGGCUCGUAGGCGGCCAACUAAGUCGGACGUGAAAUCCCCAGGCUCAACCUGGGAACUGCGUCCGAUACUGGAUGGCUUGAAUCCGGGAGAGGGAUGCAGAAUUCCAGGUGUAGCGGUGAAAUGCGUAGAUAUCUGGAGGAACACCGGUGGCGAAGGCGGCAUCCUGGACCAUGACUGACGCUGAGGAGCGAAAGCCAGGGGAGCAAACGGG